RNAcentral lists this ribosomal RNA (446 nucleotides) under uncultured bacterium. Its description in RNAcentral is "bacterial SSU rRNA". It matches the Rfam family "Bacterial small subunit ribosomal RNA", at positions 330 to 792 of the family's 1533-position model. The record is from RNAcentral.
ACCAGACUCCUACGGGAGGCAGCAGUGGGGGAUAUUGCACAAUGGGGGGAACCCUGAUGCAGCAACGCCGCGUGGGUGAAGAAGCGCCUCGGCGCGUAAAGCCCUGUCAGCAGGGAAGAAAAUGACGGUACCUGAAGAAGAAGCCCCGGCUAACUACGUGCCAGCAGCCGCGGUAAUACGUAGGGGGCAAGCGUUAUCCGGAUUUACUGGGUGUAAAGGGAGCGUAGGCGGCAGGGCAAGCCUGAUGUGAAAGCCCGGGGCUCAACCCCGGGACUGCAUUGGGAACUGCCCCGCUCGAGUGCCGGAGGGGCAGGCGGAAUUCCUAGUGUAGCGGUGAAAUGCGUAGAUAUUAGGAGGAACACCAGUGGAGAAGGCGGCCUGCUGGACGGUGUACUGACGCUGAGGCUCGAAAGCGUGGGGAGCAAACAGGAUUAGAUACCCUAGUA